UCUUACUAGAGUGCAGGAGAGGGAAGCGGAAUUCCUAGUGUAGCGGUGAAAUGCGUAGAUAUUAGGAAGAACACCAGUGGCGAAGGCGGCUUUCUGGACUGUAACUGACGCUGAGGCACGAAAGCGUGGGGAGCGAACAGGAUUAGAUACCCUGGUAGUCCACGCCGUAAACGAUGAGUGCUAGGUGUUGGGCCCAUAUGGGUUCAGUGCUGAAGUUAACGCAUUAAGCACUCCACCUGGGGAGUACGAUCGCAAGAUUGAAACUCAAAGGAAUUGACGGGGACCCGCACAAGCGGUGGAGCAUGUAGUUUAAUUCGAAGCAACGCGAAGAACCUUACCAAGGCUUGACAUCCUCCUGACAGGUUCGUAAUGGGACCCUUCCUUCGGGACAGGAGAGACAGGUGGUGCAUGGUUGUCGUCAGCUCGUGUCGUGAGAUGUUGGGUUAAGUCCCGCAACGAGCGCAACCCUUAUCUCUAGUAACCAGCGAGAAAAGUCGGGGACUCUAGAGAGACUGCCAGGGAUAACCUGGAGGAAGGUGGGGAUGACGUCAAAUCAUCAUGCCCCUUAUGUCUUGGGCUACACACGUGCUACAAUGGCUGUGACAAAGGGAAGCGAAGGGGUGACCUGGAGCAAAUCCCAAAAAAGCAGUCUCAGUUCGGAUUGUAGUCUGCAACUCGACUACAUGAAGACGGAAUCGCUAGUAAUCGCGGAUCAGAAUGCCGCGGUGAAUACGUUCCCGGGUCUUGUACACACCGCCCGUCACACCACGGGAGUUGGAAGCACCCGAAGCCGGUGACCUAACUGCAAAGGAGGAGCCGUCGAAGGUGAAGCCAAUGACUGGGGUGAAGUCGUAACAAGG
RNAcentral lists this ribosomal RNA (860 nucleotides) under uncultured Eubacteriales bacterium. RNAcentral's name for it is "bacterial SSU rRNA". It matches the Rfam family "Bacterial small subunit ribosomal RNA", at positions 636 to 1496 of the family's 1533-position model. The record is from RNAcentral. Lineage: Bacteria; Bacillati; Bacillota; Clostridia; Eubacteriales.